Molecule: ribosomal RNA, 238 nt
Filed under: uncultured archaeon
Lineage: Archaea
Description: partial 16S ribosomal RNA
Rfam family: Archaeal small subunit ribosomal RNA
Source: RNAcentral
GAGUGGUGACGCUAUUAUUGGGCCUAAAACGUCCGUAGCCGGCUGAGUAAAUGCUUGGGUAAAUCGUGCCGCUUAACGGUACGAAUUCCGGGUAAACUGCUCAGCUUGAGAUCGGGAGAACGCUAGAGGUACUCCUGGGGUAGAGGUGAAAUUCUGUAAUCCUGGGGGGACCACCAGUGGCGAAGGCGCCUAGCUAGAACGAGUCUGACGGUGACGGACGAAACCCUGGGGCGCAAAC